This 515-nucleotide ribosomal RNA is filed under the name uncultured bacterium. RNAcentral's name for it is "partial 16S ribosomal RNA". It matches the Rfam family "Bacterial small subunit ribosomal RNA", at positions 28 to 523 of the family's 1533-position model. The record is from RNAcentral.
GAUGAACGCUGGCGGCGUGCCUAAUACAUGCAAGUCGAGCGAAUGGAUUGAGAGCUUGCUCUUAUGAAGUUAGCGGCGGACGGGUGAGUAACACGUGGGUAACCUGCCCAUAAGACUGGGAUAACUCCGGGAAACCGGGGCUAAUACCGGAUAACAUUUUGAACCGCAUGGUUCGAAAUUGAAAGGCGGCUUCGGCUGUCACUUAUGGAUUGACCCGCGUCGCAUUAGCUAGUUGGUGAGGUAACGGCUCACCAAGGCAACGAUGCGUAGCCGACCUGAGAGGGUGAUCGGCCACACUGGGACUGAGACACGGCCCAGACUCCUACGGGAGGCAGCAGUAGGGAAUCUUCCGCAAUGGACGAAAGUCUGACGGAGCAACGCCGCGUGAGUGAUGAAGGCUUUCGGGUCGUAAAACUCUGUUGUUAGGGAAGAACAAGUGCUAGUUGAAUAAGCUGACACCUUGACGGUACCUAACCAGAAAGCCACGGCUAACUACGUGUCAGCAGCCGCGGUAA